UUUCCGUAGGUAAACCUGCGGAAGGAUCAUUAUUGUAUAACCGAAGAACGAGAGGUCGCACUGACCAGAUAGCGCGUGCAGGCCCGAGAGCCCGCACACACAUCCAGCUCACCCCUAGGUGCACCACGGCGUGGAUCCCGCUAUUGCUUGUUCUGCGGGGGGCUUACGUUUUCACACGAGCUUGGUAUGCAGUGGAGAAUGUAUUUUGUGUUUUUGCGCUCACGCAAUCAAUACAACUGUCAACAACGGAUCUCUUGGCUCGCGCCUCGAUGAAUAACC
Molecule: unclassified non-coding RNA, 279 nt
Filed under: plant metagenome
Description: partial contains small subunit ribosomal RNA, internal transcribed spacer 1, and 5.8S ribosomal RNA
Source: RNAcentral